AGCAGCCGCGGUAAUUCCAGCUCCAAUAGCGUAUAUUAAAGUUGCUGCAGUUAAAAGCUCGUAGUUGAAUUUCGGGACUAAUAUGUCGGUCGUGCCUCGGUACGUACUGGUUUAUUGGUUUCUCCUUUCUGAAGAACCAUGAUGUCAUUUAUUUGGUGUCGUGGGGAAUCAGGACUGUUACUUUGAAAAAUUAGAGUGUUUAAAGCAGGCUCACGCUUGAAUACAUUAGCAUGGAAUAAUGAAAUAGGACGUUUGAUUCUAUUUUGUUGGUUUCUAGGAUCGACGUAAUGAUUAAUAGGGAUAGUUGGGGGCAUUAGUAUUCAAUUGUCAGAGGUGAAAUUCUUGGAUUUAUUGAAGACUAACUACUGCGAAAGCAUUUGCCAAGGAUGUUUUCAUUAAUCAAGAACGAAAGUUAGGGAUCGAAGACGAUCAGAUACCGUCGUAGUCUUAACCAUAAACUAUGCCGACUAGGGAUCGGAUGAUGUUAAUUUUUUAAUGUACUCAUUCGGCGCCUUAACC
Molecule: unclassified non-coding RNA, 519 nt
Filed under: uncultured Glomus
Lineage: Eukaryota; Fungi; Glomeromycota; Glomeromycetes; Glomerales; Glomeraceae
Description: SSU rRNA
Rfam family: Eukaryotic small subunit ribosomal RNA
Source: RNAcentral